GUUGUUCAUGUAUUGAUGGUGUUCAGCACCAAGGACAGACUUAGUUGUUCAUGUAUUGAUGGUGUUCAGCACCAAGGACAGACUUAGUUGUUC
Molecule: non-coding RNA, 93 nt
Organism: Branchiostoma floridae (Florida lancelet)
Lineage: Eukaryota; Metazoa; Chordata; Leptocardii; Amphioxiformes; Branchiostomatidae
Source: Rfam